GUUCUUCAUCGAGCUUUCAGGAACUCAUUCAGGUGGGGUCUGAAGAUUCUGUGAAGAUUUCAGAUAAAAAUGAACUUCAAAUGGAUCUGGCUGGUAGCCAUUCUCAUGAUUAUAGGAUUGGCUAGUGUGGCAGAUGCCAGGCGUGGCGGGGGCCGAGGAGGCCGAGGAGGCCGAGGAGGUCGAGGAGGUCGAGGAGGCCGAGGUGGCAGAGGAGGCAGAGGUGGAGGUCGAGGCGGCGGAGGUCGAGGCGGCAGAGGAGGCCGAGGUGGCCGAGGCUGAGGAGCAAAGUAGAACGAAAUGAAGGCACAGACCAGGAACGUCCAACAACGGCAUCCCUCCAAGACAAAAACAGAAAACAAAAUGCUAGUGUAGCAGUCGCUUUCAACAUUUCCUGUUCUCUACCCCGAUUUUCUGCUUCUUUCCUUGUCAGGGAGGUCAGUCCACAUCUGUCUGCACACAACUGCAAAUCAUCUCCCCCAAAAGCUAUGAACCAGGCAUAGGGAAACUUGGCCCUCCAGAUGUUUUGGGACUACAACUCCCAUCAUCCCUAGCUAAGAGGACCAGUGGUCAGGAAUGAUGGGAGUUGUAGUCCCAAAACAUCUGGAGGGGGAGAUAAACGUGGCUAAUUAGUCUCAGCUCCAUGGUAUUUUUUGCCAACCUUUGCUAUUACUCUUGAGAAUGUAGAAAUGCAUUUUAUUUCCCCCUGUUUGCAUUAUCUUUAUGAAACUUUCUUGCACAUUCAGCAUAUUAAA
This is a long non-coding RNA of Zootoca vivipara (common lizard), 752 nucleotides long. RefSeq lists it as uncharacterized. Lineage: Eukaryota; Metazoa; Chordata; Lepidosauria; Squamata; Lacertidae. The record is from RefSeq and is a predicted model, not a curated record.